GUGCCAGCAGCGGCGGUAAUACGUAGGGUCCGAGCGUUGUCCGGAAUUAUUGGGCGUAAAGGGCUCGUAGGCGGUUUGUCGCGUCGGGAGUGAAAACAUCCAGCUUAACUGGGUGCUUGCUUUCGAUACGGGCAGACUAGAGGCAUGCAGGGGAGAACGGAAUUCCUGGUGUAGCGGUGAAAUGCGCAGAUAUCAGGAGGAACACCGGUGGCGAAGGCGGUUCUCUGGGCAUGUCCUGACGCUGAGGAGCGAAAGUGUGGGAGCGAACAGGAUUAGAUACCCUGGUAGUCCAC
Molecule: ribosomal RNA, 293 nt
Filed under: uncultured Nocardioides sp.
Lineage: Bacteria; Bacillati; Actinomycetota; Actinomycetes; Propionibacteriales; Nocardioidaceae
Description: partial 16S ribosomal RNA
Rfam family: Bacterial small subunit ribosomal RNA
Source: RNAcentral